AAAUUGAAGAGUUUGAUCAUGGCUCAGAUUGAACGCUGGCGGCAGGCCUAACACAUGCAAGUCGAACGGUAACAGGAAGCAGCUUGCUGCUUCGCUGACGAGUGGCGGACGGGUGAGUAAUGUCUGGGAAACUGCCUGAUGGAGGGGGAUAACUACUGGAAACGGUGGCUAAUACCGCAUAACGUCGCAAGACCAAAGAGGGGGACCUUCGGGCCUCUUGCCAUCAGAUGUGCCCAGAUGGGAUUAGCUAGUUGGUGAGGUAACGGCUCACCAAGGCGACGAUCCCUAGCUGGUCUGAGAGGAUGACCAGCCACACUGGAACUGAGACACGGUCCAGACUCCUACGGGAGGCAGCAGUGGGGAAUAUUGCACAAUGGGCGCAAGCCUGAUGCAGCCAUGCCGCGUGUAUGAAGAAGGCCUUCGGGUUGUAAAGUACUUUCAGCGGGGAGGAAGGUG
This 456-nucleotide ribosomal RNA is filed under the name Salmonella enterica. RNAcentral describes it as "bacterial SSU rRNA". It matches the Rfam family "Bacterial small subunit ribosomal RNA", at positions 1 to 453 of the family's 1533-position model. The record is from RNAcentral. Lineage: Bacteria; Pseudomonadati; Pseudomonadota; Gammaproteobacteria; Enterobacterales; Enterobacteriaceae.